RNAcentral lists this ribosomal RNA (482 nucleotides) under uncultured bacterium. RNAcentral describes it as "bacterial SSU rRNA". It matches the Rfam family "Bacterial small subunit ribosomal RNA", at positions 8 to 524 of the family's 1533-position model. The record is from RNAcentral.
AGAGUUUGAUCCUGGCUCAGAACGAACGCUGGCGGCAGGCUUAACACAUGCAAGUCGAACGUGAAGCAGGAGCUUGCUCCUGUGGAAAGUGGCAGACGGGUGAGUAACGCGUGGGAAUUUACUCAGUGGUUCGGAAUAACUUCGGGAAACCGGAGCUAAUACCGAAUACGCCCUCCGGGGGAAAGAUUUAUCGCCAUUGGAUGAGCCCGCGUCGGAUUAGCUUGUUGGUGAGGUAAAAGCUCACCAAGGCGACGAUCCGUAGCUGGUCUGAGAGGAUGAUCAGCCACACUGGGACUGAGACACGGCCCAGACUCCUGCGGGAGGCAGCAGUGGGGAAUAUUGCGCAAUGGAGGAAACUCUGACGCAGCCAUGCCGCGUGAGUGAAGAAGGCCUUAGGGUUGUAAAACUCUUUCACCGGUGAAGAUAAUGACGGUAGCCGGAGAAGAAGCCCCGGCCAACUCCGUGCCAGCAGCCGCGGUAAU